This 460-nucleotide ribosomal RNA is filed under the name uncultured bacterium. RNAcentral's name for it is "partial 16S ribosomal RNA". It matches the Rfam family "Bacterial small subunit ribosomal RNA", at positions 338 to 795 of the family's 1533-position model. The record is from RNAcentral.
CCUACGGGUGGCAGCAGUGAGGAAUAUUGGUCAAUGGGCGCAAGCCUGAACCAGCCAAGUCGCGUGAGGGAUGACGGUCCUAUGGAUUGUAAACCUCUUUUGUCGGGGAGCAAGGCCCGCCACGUGUGGCGUGAAGGCGAGUACCCGAAGAAAAAGCAUCGGCUAACUCCGUGCCAGCAGCCGCGGUAAUACGGAGGAUGCGAGCGUUAUCCGGAUUUAUUGGGUUUAAAGGGUGCGUAGGCGGAAGGUUAAGUCAGCGGUAAAAUGUCGGUGCUCAACACCGGCCUGCCGUUGAAACUGGUAUUCUUGAGUGAGCGAGAAGUAUGCGGAAUGCGUGGUGUAGCGGUGAAAUGCAUAGAUAUCACGCAGAACUCCGAUUGCGAAGGCAGCAUACCGGCGCUCAACUGACGCUGAGGCACGAAAGCGUGGGGAUCGAACAGGAUUAGAUACCCGGGUAGUC